Molecule: RNA transcript, 1569 nt
Organism: Nelumbo nucifera (sacred lotus)
Lineage: Eukaryota; Viridiplantae; Streptophyta; Magnoliopsida; Proteales; Nelumbonaceae
Source: RefSeq, a predicted model, not a curated record
AAGUCCGCAGUCCGCACUGUCAUCUUUGUUCUCAGGCAGCAAGCAGAAGCACCCCCAAACUUGGAACUUCAUGGCGAUGUUACUCCAUCUCCUUCUCCUAGUUAUCCUCUGUUUAGCUUCGAAUCGAGUGACAUCUGAACUCGUAUUGGAGGAGGGAUAUACAGUGUCGACCAUACUCGACGGUAACAAACUACGUGUUAACCCUUCAUCCGUCCUCCCCCGACCCGGAACUCAUGACCUUAUCAUCCUCGACUCCUCUGGCAAUGCCUUCUACACUGUUUCGUCCCCUUUCUCUCAAGAUUGUGAGGUCAGGCAGUUAGCGGGAAAUGGUUCUCGCGGAUUCUCUGAUGGAGAUUCCGUUUCUGCAAUGUUCAGUCAUCCACGGAGCUUUGCUGUUGAUCUCAAGGGAAAUAUUUACGUCGCUGAUAGGUCCAACCAUGCUAUACGGAAGAUUAGCAAGUCAGGUGUUACUACUAUUGCUGGAGGCUACUCAAAGGGUCCAGGGAAAAUGGAUGGACCUGCACAGAGUGCAUCUUUCUCAGAAGAUUUUGAGCUUAUCUUCAUAUCUGAAAGAUGCUCCUUAUUGAUUUCUGAUCGUGGAAAUAGGUUGGUCCGAGAAAUGAUUCUGAAGCAUGAGGAUUGUGCGCAUUCUCAAUUAAAGCUGGGAUCAACCUGGGUCUGGGCGCUUGGACUGGGAAUUGCAUGUUUACUAAGCCUGGCAAUGUGGCUUGCAGCUCAUCGGUUUCUCGCUCGCGACGUCUUCAGCCCUCACUGUUUCAGCAAGACAUGGAAGCAUUGCCAAAUCAUUCUGGGGACUCAAGUAGUGAUAAUCUUCUCCGACAUCAGAAGCGCAGUUGCUAGCUCAACUCCUUGGGCAUUUUUGCUUAGGCUUGCUGGGCUGAUUCAGUCUCAUGUUUGUCUAAUAUUUAAGAUUCAUAAAGUAGAAAAUCAGAAGAUUUGUAGGGAGCCUGUUUACUCGCUUGAUUUGGAUGUUUCAUGUCACCAUCAGUUGUCAAAAGAACAAAUCUUAGCUGACCAAUUGAAGGAUAUGAUUAGUUUUGAUGGUGAGCCGGAUACAUCCAUGGUUCUGAAGGAAGACCUCCAGAAAGGAGAUGAGGAACAUGAAAACAGUGAUGUCUCAACUUACGAUGGUGGAAUAUUAGAUGGAAUGAUACAAGCUGCCAUUAUGGAUUUCACUCGCCAGGAAAGCCCAUCAGAGCGGUCUCUGUCUGCUGGUUGGAUAGUUAAGAGGAGAUAAAGAUAAGCUGAGGAUGGCUUUCUUCAAUGAAACUUUAUGCACUCAGACUCUUGUUUGCUACAGCCAAGCAAUUCCAACAAACUGGCCAUCCAAUUUCACUAGACAACUCACCACAGAUUCCAACUACGCUGCUCUGGCAAAAGGACAAAGAACAAGUGAUCCACAUCCUCCACCCAGUCACACAUGGUUUUGGAGCGGAAAACAAAAUAUUGCAAUUUCUUUAAUCUUGUGGAGCAGUCCACACAGCAUUAAUUGGAUGAUUGCUGAAAUAUUUUAUUUAAAAUUUGGGUUCGACUAUGAUACCCGGAAAA